GAGCAGCAGGCAGAGUCUAAAUACCACAAGGAAGAUGAUGUCGAAGGAUGAAGAUGCAUUUCUCCUGUGAAUGUAGACAGGAGCCUGCCCAACAGCUGUGGUUGGAGGUGGGGCUCAUCUACAGACAUUUUGGUGGGUGUAGGACCCACAUUUGCCUACUGUUCACUUUCUGAUCUUUCCUUUCAGCUGAGGACAAUGGGAAACUGGCCUUUGGCUGCAUAGAAACGGGGAGCCUAGGUUGAAGUCAGAGACCCCAACUCAUGGCCAGGAGUUUCUUUCCCUUUAUGACUUCUGCCAUCACUAGAGAGAAGUCACACCUUGGAGUCCACAGCCCUCCUCCAUCACUAUGUAGUCAUGGGGCAUGUUGUUAGGCCCUCUGAGCUUGAGUUUCCUGUUCUGUGAUCCAGAUUACAGAGGGAUCUUUGAAAUAUGGGGCCAGAUAAUAAAAGUCACGGGCUUAGCAAUUACAUCCUUGGAGGAACUAGCCUUCACGCCAAAAACAACUUGUGGGUUUGGUCCUUCAUUCAAAGAGGACUAGGAACCAGCGCCGAGUAUUUGCUUUCAUGGGGGCUUUGUUGGCCUGUUCAUUUCUCUUGCAAAAGCAUAAUUACAAUUAAUCAACUGGAGCAGAAUGUUGGCUAAGAGACCUCAACCCAGCUCAGCAGAAGUGAAGUGGCAACGAUGAAUUGAGCUCUUUCAGAUCAAGCAUGCUUUCUCUUUUUGCACUGACCAUUUUUCUUCUCCCAGAAAGUCUUGAAACAUUUUAUCCAGUUCAAGUUUUACUAUUGGAAAUGCCCUCCUUCCCUUUCUUUGAAUCACCCUUGGAUACACAU
This 833-nucleotide long non-coding RNA is filed under the name Marmota monax (woodchuck). Lineage: Eukaryota; Metazoa; Chordata; Mammalia; Rodentia; Sciuridae. The record is from RNAcentral.